AUUGAACGCUGGCGGCAGGCUUAACACAUGCAAGUCGAGCGGAGCGAGGGUGCUUGCACCUUAGCUUAGCGGCGGACGGGUGAGUAAUGCUUAGGAAUCUGCCUAUUAGUGGGGGACAACAUUCCGAAAGGGAUGCUAAUACCGCAUACGCCCUACGGGGGAAAGCAGGGGAUCACUUGUGACCUUGCGCUAAUAGAUGAGCCUAAGUCGGAUUAGCUAGUUGGUGGGGUAAAGGCCUACCAAGGCGACGAUCUGUAGCGGGUCUGAGAGGAUGAUCCGCCACACUGGGACUGAGACACGGCCCAGACUCCUACGGGAGGCAGCAGUGGGGAAUAUUGGACAAUGGGGGGAACCCUGAUCCAGCCAUGCCGCGUGUGUGAAGAAGGCCUUUUGGUUGUAAAGCA
RNAcentral lists this ribosomal RNA (404 nucleotides) under Acinetobacter sp. oral taxon C51. RNAcentral's name for it is "bacterial SSU rRNA". It matches the Rfam family "Bacterial small subunit ribosomal RNA", at positions 30 to 432 of the family's 1533-position model. Lineage: Bacteria; Pseudomonadati; Pseudomonadota; Gammaproteobacteria; Moraxellales; Moraxellaceae. The record is from RNAcentral.